Neofelis nebulosa (Clouded leopard) is the source of this 7562-nucleotide long non-coding RNA. RefSeq lists it as uncharacterized. NCBI's taxonomy places the organism in Eukaryota, Metazoa, Chordata, Mammalia, Carnivora, Felidae. The record is from RefSeq and is a predicted model, not a curated record. The transcript has 2 exons.
UAUUUUAAAGCAGGGCUCAGAUACAACCAAUUCCUGACAUGAAAGCUGGGGCCCCACGUGACACAGGGACUGGCUGGGUCUUUGGGGAUGGCCACCGACACUGUUUAAGACCUCCUAUGUGCUGCACACUGUGCUUGUCACCUUCCCUUGUUGAGUCUUUGCCUCUUUGCCCAAUUUAUGGGUGAAACCACAGGCAUUUGGCAAGGCCGUGGCUGACAUGCCCGUUGGACUGCUGGAGGUGGUGGGCCGAGAUUCAGAGCCAGGGCUGGCUGAAGCCUGGGCUGCUUUCCCGCAGCACAUUGGUGGUCAGUGCAGUGUAGUCAUGAACCAGAAGGAUUUAUUGAGUCUGUAUCCUGUGCUAAGUUCUGUGGAAUCCUUGGGGAAUGAGAUGGGCUGUCUGCACCCUCACUGAGCUGACAGGGUUGGGGAGGCGGGGUCUACAUCCGUACCAGGGCACUGGGCAUCCCAGAAGGCCCCGGGGCUGCUGCUAAGAGCCAGCCCUCCUUGUUGGUCAUUGGGUCAGGGGCUGGCCUCAGGAAGGGGAGAAAAGGUGGCCACUUGUCCCCAAAUACGUUGCAGUGCCUGAAACGACACCAUUAUCACCUCAUUCCUUUGGCUUAAGGACUUAUUCCCGGCCAGUGUGGUUCUUGGAAGGAGAGAAGGCAGAAAUGGAUAGGAGGAGGGAAGGAGCCUGGGGUGGGGUUUUUCACCUGGUGGGAAAUGGCCAGAGCUGUGAGGCCGUGGGGAGGUGGGAGGCCUGUGAGCCUGUCCUCCCAGCCCUGCCCAUGUGAGCUGACGUGGGACAGGAACAGGGGGCUGGGGUCAUGCGGUGAGGAACCCAGGGCACAGGCUUGGCACAGCCUGGCUUCAUUGCCCAAGGACCUCCCAAGACCUGUGGAGUUUGGGAGUGGGCCUGUGUUCUCAUCCUGGGGCUUAGUGCUGAAGAUCCUAAGCUCCUGGGACAAUCCGCCAGCCUGCCCUGAAGAGGGAGCCAGGUUAGUGUGCUGCUCAGGGUCCCCUGGCUUGGGAGGGUGGAGUAAGGGCCCAUGUGCAGCCCUGCCCGUGACCUGACCCUGUUCCUGGGCCUCCUGCACUUAGGAACCCGGGACCUGGCAGCUGGCUUAGCUUUCCCCACCUCAAGGACCCUGUACUCACUGUGGCGGAAAGGACUCCUCCAAAAGCAGGUUGAGUUGGAAAGCAGGGCUGGCAUUCUAACGGGCCAAAGGAACAAGGUGAGGAAGGCAUGCAUGAGGUCUGAAUGCCUCCCAUGGCCCUGAGGUGGGGCUUUCUUACCCCCAAACGCACCCUUCCCGCUCUGCUUAAAAAAAAAUGACAGCACAUCAGAACUGCUUCUGAGGGUGGGGCUGGGGCAGAGGGGUUUGGCGUGGUGAGUGGUGAAAAUGUGCACAAGCAGGUUUUCAUGCACGCGUAGGUUCUGGCUACUGCGCAGCGCGUCUGUGCCUCUGGGUGUUCUGCGAGGCAGGCCCAUCACACUCUGGGCGAUGACACGUGCGUACCAGGCUGCCCACGUGCCUGGCGCUGCACCAGGGCUCUGGGAGCCCCAGCUGUGGGGCCAUGAGGUGACAGGUGAUGAAACGGAGUGGGGAGGGCACCAGCACACAAGGCCUCAACUGAGCGGGGUCUUGACACAGGCUAGACAGGUGGCAGUGGGGAGGGGCAUACCAGGCAGAAAGGACAGCCUGGUCAGACGCAUGAAGGCCCCUGUCCUGCCCGCGCCGUGGUGAGUCACCGCAAUGCACGUUGGGCUGGAUGUUUGUUGGGUUGGGAGGCUGGCAAGGGGUCCCCGUAGUGAGGAUCCCUGUGUGACUAAGGAAGCGGACUUCGGGGAGCUGCGGAAAGGGUGACGGGGCCAGAUUUCAUUUUGGAAACAUCCCUUUGGUUGCCAUUGGAGAGAUCAGUGUGGGAGAGGUGGGAGGCUGGGGCCCAGGGGGAUAUGGGUGUGCGAGCCAAGGAGGGGCCUGUCGGGGAGAUGGAAAGGGAGCUGGGGGUUGGGCAUUCAUGCACAUACAUGCACACACACAUGCACGCACGGGUGCACACAGGGCCUGCAGUGGCUUCAGGAAGGAGGAAGAGUUUUAGGAGGCUGAGGUUUCCAGUUUGAGCAAAAGGAGGUGAGGCCACUACCUGGGACAAGGAGAGGCAGGUGAAGGGCCACAUGCCAGGAUAUUUGGCUGAAACCCUUAGAGACUUUCUCUGUCACAUGCAAAUUCCCUUGAGUUCAUUCUCUGUUUGGCUGCUGUGUGCCAAUCAGUACCCCUUCCUGGCUGUACCUGGUGUGCCAGGAUGGCAGGCUGGGCUGGGCCCCAAGUGGGAAGGCCUAGCCAGUCCUUCCACCCAACUCAUCGUGACCAAGAUAAAUGUUUGCAAGGUGGUGCUGGAAUCCAGUCUGGCCUGUGUCCAGCCUUGGGGCUGUGCAUGGCUGGGGGCCCCAUCGUAACUUCCUGGUUAAGCUUGCUGCCCUGGCCGUGGCCCCGAUACCAGACUGCACAGCCUCGGCCAGUGGGUUCACCUGGACUGGCUGCAGCUUAAAUCUGAGUUUGACCUGGAGAACGAACCCCGGCCCCAUCCCCUUGCUGUGGCCCCUCCCUGGCUGGGCCUGACCAGCAGUGGUUUAGGGUCUCAAGACAUGGCCACCAGCUUAGUUUACAGAUCUCCCUUCAGAUUCCAGAUUUCUGACCAGACUUUCUGGGUCCCCUUCAGGCCCUGCUCUGGCAGGUGAUGGAUUUCAUUAUUUGUACAUUUGUUUUGUUUUGAAUUUGGAAUAAAGUAUUGGAGGUCAGAGCUUUGCUAGGGAAGGGUCCAUGGUCCUGGCUGGUCUUGUUUUUUUCUGACAGAUUUUGUCCUUCAGAACAUCCGCCCUAGAUUCUGAGCUUCCGUGUCCAGGCAGCAGCCCCCCUCUUUCUUCUCCAGGGACUCCUCCCUUCUGUCCACUGUUCUUUCCUUUCUGGCAGCCUUCCGGGCCCCCAACAGCUGAAGCCCGGCUUCUGGGAGCUUAUCACCUCUGGGCGUGGCCAGGUCACAGAGCAGGCAUUUUUUGUCAAGCCCCAAGGUAUCCCUGCUGAUACCUUCACAGGGAAUCACUAGUCCACCCUAAGGGAGAAGGCGUUGCUCCCAGAGUAUAGGCUACUACCCGCCUGAGGUCACGAUGUGUGUACGGGGUGGGGCUGGAAAAGCAGAGAAUGGGCCUGUCCCACUGUGACAUCACCUCCUGUGUCAGCUGGAUUGGGUCUCUGUCCCCAGAAGUGCUGGAUUCUUAUUUGACAGGUGCACGGGGCCUUCCCAGUGCAGAUCCUGGCACUUUGGGCAUUGUGGGGAGGGUGGGCACUAGUGGUCUAAAAUUUGGGUUUGAAUCCCGGAUCUCACCUGUAGCCAUGUUUGGCAAGUUGCUGACCUCACUGAUCCUCGACUUCCUCACGAUGAUAUGAUAAUUGUGCCUCCUUCUUUGGCUUGCUCUGAGGAUUACAUGGAAUAACCCACGUAAAGCGCUUGGCACCAAGCUGGCAUUCACCACGUGUGCCAGUGUUCCUUUGGCCUACCUCCAUGGCCACAGGCAGGGGCUAGCUCUUGCCUGGCCAACUUGGCUCUGAUCAAGGUCCACAUCCCAUCUUGGCCAUUCCUCAUUUAGAGCCUCCUUCAAGGUCCUUUACCCUGUGCUUCAUACCUUGCUUAGGUCACAUGUACUCUGGCCUUGGCUUUCUGAAAUUGUGGUUCCUGGAGCCAUGCUGAGGAGGCUAGUCGGGCUGGGCUCCCAGAAGCUCAUGCUAGGAUGAGGAUUCUGGAUUGACUAAGGAAAAGGGAGUGGGGAGUGCAAGUCAACAAGGGUGUGAUUUCAGGUAGAGUCCUGGCCUUGGCCAGGUCCUGUAGGGGAGACCUGGGGCAUGCCUGCCAUGGGGGCCAGGGGUCUGUGCAUGUGUGUGGGUAGUUCCAGGCAUACUGGCUGUGGCAGGCAGGCCAUGAGGCUCCAGGAGCCCUGGGGAAGGUCUCUGCAUGGCGUUGUAGGCCCCUUAUCCCAGGGGAGGUGUGCACAGAAACCAAGGGCAUCUGUGGGGUCUGGGGGGCACACUCAUCAAUGGUUGCACUUGUGCCCUGAGCAGUCCUCUCACCCAGUAGACGUGUAUGGAGUCCACAGCCUGCAGGGUGCCCAGAACUUCUCUCCGUGAGCAGCUCGUAAACAGUUGUCUCCUGUGUGUCCAUGCUGAGUGACCUUGGUCACUCAACUGCAGAGCUUUGCGUUUGCCGAUGCUAAAUUCCUUCUUGGUUGUCGUUCUGGCCUGGCCUAGUUUGGUCAUCUGAAGCUAUGACUAGUCCUUUAUCAGUUUCCAACCAACUUGUCAGGCAGAGCAGGGCCACACAGAGCCCACGGCCUGUCACUGAGUCAUCUUAUAGGUCAGCACUGGUCCCCAGGUCCCUGUGAAUCAACAGUCAUCAUAGGCAAGUCCGUUUAAGGUGAAUUUGUGCAAAUCUGGGUCUUCAACAUCAGUAGCACUCUUCUGACCCAAGUCCCGGCCCAGGGACCCUCCCAUCCAAACAAGGAAGGGGGGUAGGGGCUUGACUGGAGGCCUCGCUGUCCACAUAGCCGGUUCUGGUUCUGGUGAUCGCUGCUUCCCUUUCUAACAUCUUACUUCUGUUUAACAAGCUGUUCUAGAAGUUUGAGAUCUGCAGCAAGCUAAGAGUCACAGACUCUCCCUUGUAACCUUUUUGGAGAUUGGAAGCCACCCCACUGUGUGCUGGCACACCUCGUUUUCAUACCCCCACCCCCACCCCGCCCCGGGCACAUCAGGGCUCACCUCGAGGUUCCUGGGGGGUGGCUGUGAGGAGCAUGACACUCAUCACAGCUGGCCUCUAUCUAGCACCUUUUUCAAUGGGCCUUUCUGUGGGGCUGCUCACCCUUUUUUGAUAAGAGUCUUUCUGAAGCUGGGUGGAGAUCUCUCUAAUGGAUAGACAUGGAGCUAGUUCUGUUGCUGUGGUUACGUAAAGAUAAUAAGCCAUGAAAAAUAUCUCAGGAAAGUCGAUGUUGGUUAAAGAAAACCAAACCAAAUCAGAGUUGCAUUGGCCUUUAGGACUGGAGGUGGACAGGUAGGGUCUGACUCUCUUACUCCAAGAGUUGGGUAAACAUUGCCUUUGCUCCCUUCUGUGGUGACCCUCCAUGACUCAUUCGUCAUUUCUCCCCCUCCAAGCGUGGGGUAGCUCGGCAAGGAGGCAGAUCUGUACCCUGAAACAUGUGCUCCCAAAUGGGUGUCCUAGAAUUCAUGUUUUAUGGCCCCACUUUAUAGGACGGAAUGUGGGAAUUGAGCGAACAUGGCAGUCCACAUCUGAGGGGCUCAGGGCUGGUGACUGUGUCCCAUUUUAAGGUAUGUGGCUCUUAGCCAUGUACGCUUCACCCAAUCUGUCCUGGCCUGGAGCUUUCCAUUUCUGAAACACUCCUGAGAAGAGACACCGGGCACCCAAGAAUGUGGUCAUGGGAGUGCAGUGCCUCCCCAGAUGUCCAGACAGGGCCCAGUGGGAAGGCUCUGCUCUUGGUGUUUUUCUCCCCAACCCCUGUUUCUCUUUAAUCUCAGUCUUUCCCUUCUCCUCUUCAGUAUCUAGUCCUCUGUGCCCUCCAGAAGCCUUGUGUCUCUGCACUGUCCCGCAGUCCUUCCCCCUGCUGCCAAGGGUCUGCCUUGCCCUAAUCCUCCUGCUGCAAGCAGCUGCUUGCUCUUCUCGUGGCCACUUCUCCCCCAGCCAUGGCUGGGUCUGGGUUUCAGCAUUCUUGCUUUUCACAAGUCUGGGCUCUUCCUAUCCACCUGUCUGUUCUCUGUCUCGGUAAAAACCAAAACAUCUGAGCGUGCCAAAGAGCUUCUGAGCAUCUCCCUAGAGAAGGAGGCUUCCUUGGGCUAACCUGGGAUCACAUUGUCAAGUUUCCAUCCUUUUUGCCUCCAAAAGGGAAAUCAGUUGUCCUGCUGGGUAAGUGGAGGAACUUUGGUAUCCCAUCAAUCUUCAGUUUUGGUGGCCCUUAUUGGCGCCUGGCUGGUUAGGUCACCUGAGGGGCAUACCGGAUGUGUGGUCUCCAUCUGCUAGUUUUAGGCAGGCCAUCUCCUCUUUCGUGCUUUCAGACUCCUCUUGCUUGGCUUGUAAUUAGAUUGGGAGAUUGGGGCAUGUCCUGGGCCUCAUUGGGGACACACCGUGCUGUCCCAUCUCUGUGCCUCUCUCCUGUGUGGGACUGGUUUGUGUCUAGGAGCCAGGGCUGGGGACAGGGGGACGAGACUUCUGACUUCUGUCUUUGACACCAAGUAGGCACCUGAGAAAAUGCCCACUGAGAAAGCCUGAGCAAGCCCAAGUAGGUAGCCUCUGUUGGGUCUGGUAUUUUCUGUGACUCAUCAUGGAACUAAAUUUGGGGUGCUGGAGCCCUGCCGGGGAGGACUGGAGUUCCUCACCCAUGUCCACUUGGCCCCUUACCUGUAACCUUCUGCUUUGCCCUCCCUCUGUCCACUUCUCAUUGUUAGCAGUCAAGGUCCGGGGAGGUGUUGGCCAAGGGUGCCAUUUUGUAUUCAGGCUUUGUGGCUUUUGUAAGCCCAGCCUGUGUCCCUUGAGGAAGACUAUGCGGUCUGAUUUUCUUUCCCUUCAGAGUUGAGGCAGUUCAGGGAGAGGGGAAGGGGUUUCCUGAGAAGUUUCCAACCCCUAAACUCCCUUCUGCCCUGGUGCAACUCAGGAUGUGGUUCAGACUCCCACCAGGUCACACCCCUGGGCUGGGGAGGGAGUGGGCAGGAACCAGCAGGGCUCUGGGCCCAGGAGAGCUUGGACACACAACUGGGCACUACUGGAGGCACCAGGAACAUUGCCUGAGUCUUGCUGAAGGUGCAAAGUGGGAUCCUGCCUUUAUUUGGCUUUUUGAUAUUUUGUCAUUUAUUUUUUUGCAUUUAUUCUGAUUUUAAAGUAUUCACUAAAACAUUAUUUAUCUUGAUUACCGAGCCUUUUGCCAUCCCCUUACAUUUUGUGCCUUGUCCCUGCCUGGCACCCUCCUCUCCUAGAGCUUUAGGUCCCCUGGGCACCCCCCCCCCCCCCCCCCCCAGGACUCUAGUGCGGAGAAGGAAAGCCAGAGGUGCCGCGGGAGGAGCUCGGUCGCCCCCUAGUGGCCUCAGAGCCGCUCCUUCAGAGACACCUGGGGGCGCAGGCUGGGAAACAAUGACUUUGUCCCCUCCCCAGCAGCCUCAAGCUACCUCCAGCCAUCUCACCCCGUGCCUGCGCUCCGCUCCCGGCUCUUCUCCUCCUCCAGAUGCUCCAGGACGGGGGCUGAAGAUUUCCGACGGGAGGAUAGCGAUGAAGAAGGUGGAGGGAGGGGAGUCCAGGCGGAGGCUGGAAAAACCCUAGGUUUGGAGAAUUGGAACAUAUCACCCGAGAUCCCCGAACUCCUGGGGGCAGAACCAGGACUCCGCACUACGGCUGUUUUCCUGGGCUCUUCUGGCCUCUGCCCUUCUGCUUGUCCAGACAGAGGUUGGGCUGCCAAUGACCUUUGCUCCUCAGAAACAAACAGUUUACCGAGUAAGUGAAGAAUGUAUACAGUA